UUCAAUGAAUGAAGACCGAUGGGCUACGAAGUGGAGAUGAUGUCGUCGUGUCAUUGCUCAGGCUCCGGCGCCAUCCGCCCAAGUCCGCCACCCGCCGAUCCACCGGGCUCCGCCGCCAUCCGCCCAGGUCCGCCGCCCACCGAUCCACCGGGUUUCGGCGCCACCCGCCCAGGUCCGCCGCCUGCCGAUCCACCGGGCUCCGGCGCCACCUGCUGAGCAUGCCCCUCGCCUACCCCAGGGCUGCUUCACCACCGAACGCCGCCACUUCACCAGGCAGCGCCGCCCAACUGCCACCUAUGACCUGCGCCCUCCCUACCACCCCACCCUCCCACCGCUCCAUCCUUGGGUUCCCUCACCGAACGCCCUCCCGACGACCACUUCUCCACCAGCGGCGCCACCCCGCUCCUCAGAUGCACCUCCACCAGCGAAUGGCUGCUUCGAUCAACAUCGACAGUUUCACGGCGGGCUGUUCUGCGGCAGGAGGAUUCGCGGCGUGCUUGGUGGUCUCAGUGUCCGAUGCCAUCGCGGGUUGCCUCCACUCCCCCACCGUCGCCGCUCAACUCGGUCUUCGUCGGCACCGCUCAAUUCAGCCUCUGUUGCCGCUCUCCGAUCCUCCUGCUUCGACCCCUCACCGGAUCCGUCCUUCUCCUUGCCAGCGACAUCUUCCUCCCCACGCCACUUCCUGUUCCCAUCUGGUUGAUUAUUGAUUAUUAACUUUCCGAUUUUCUCACAGUUCUGACGAGAAGAAGUAGAGCUGGGAGGAUGCGGAGUGAUGUGGUGAGGAGCAACAAUUGCAGAGCAUUAGCACUGCGGCAACACACUUCUAUGGUGGUGUAGUGCAGACACGGACGAGGAAAAGAACACAUAUACAAGCUCAUAUAUUUGUUAUCUUCUUUCCUGAAUCAUGAUUCCUGUUCCGGAACUACUUCCAUGUACAAUAUUUUGGUGUCCGACCUUGGUAUUGGUUUUCCAUUUCCUUUCUGAACACAUGAGCUUUGGUAUGGAUCUUGGGAGCAAGUCAUCCUCAGUUUGCUUCCAGUGGAGUAGUGGCGGGGAAGUGGGGGAAUAUUAGGUCCCACCACACUAAGGAGCACAUGUCUGUAGGGAAGGAGUUUAUCGAGGAUCUGUGAGCCAAUAAAUAAUACGGAGAGAUUAGUUACUAAAGAAAAUGGUACGAGGUCAAUAGUUGAAAGCCUGAAGCCAGAUGUUCCUACGAUGACGUACACAACUCUUGAGAAACAAAACCAAUACAUUAUAUGUGCCUGCAAGAUUGAAGAUCGUACAUAUAUUUACUUUGCUCCAGGAUCCUAUAGCAGUGCAUUACUCCAUGCAGUUCCCUUUAUCAUCCAUUUUAUUAUUCAUAUCUCUAUAUGGUUGUUAUAUAUAGAUCCUAUUACAGGGAUGUAGCACUAUAUUUUCCAGCCAUUGUUGUAAACAAAACACCCUCUGUACUGAUACAUAUGUUUUUUUUCUUUUAGUUAUCUCUUUUCAGAGUGGACGAGGUUUCUAGAUUGAAGAAAUUAUUUUUAGAUCGCCCUUUGGGUUUCAAAGAAUUCAGAAUAAGUUCCUACACGAGCUGUUAUUGGAUAAAUCAUGUACGACACCAUGCUUGCACCCUUAUCCCUGGAGUAUUUGCAGUUGUAUUCUUGGCUGUUCGUUGCACAAGAUGUUAUUACAUGUUGGCAUAGACAUGCAUUGCCAGUCGGAUAAGUUGACUGCAGCUACCCUCGAAGCUGCUCUUUGCAUGUAAAGGAAGCUCAGAAACAGUGUUUUCUUGAGGAAACAAAGCAUGAUUGUGGAUCUUCUCAAAAUUGUCUGGAUGAGAGUGAUUGGCUUGCAGAAUUGGCUGACAUUGGAAUGCUUGACGUGUUCGAAGAUGUUGGCCUAUAUACUGUUCAAACAACUUGUUCGUCGCAAGGCGACAAUGCGCAACUGACUUGAAACAACGUCCACCCUUUACUGCCACCAUAUACGACAGCCUGCAUUGAAGGGCCUUCGUACACCAUCGAUAAGCCGUGCCGGCUGCUUUAUAGGGGAAGCGCUCAGUCAUGUUGGGUCGCCAUUCGUGCAUCUAGAGCACGAUCGGCAAUGAUGAAGGCAAGUAUGCUGUUGUCCCCUUCUGAAGUUCUGUUUAGGCUGGGAAUCAAUCAAUGCAUUAUCUGAGUAUUGAAUUUUCUGAUUUUCUGUUGACCAAUACGUUGAGCACAAUUGUCAUAAUGAAGAGAAGAAUUAAAUGAUUUUAUUUGAAUAAAUGUGCCUUCUAACUAUGAUGAACAAGAAAAGUUUGAUAUAAAGUUAGACGUGCAUUGCACGUGCAAAUUUACUAGUUUAGGAAGGAUUUGAAGGAUCCCUCCUGUGCGCGCAUGGGUGGUGCCCAAACACUAGUAGAAAACAGGGCUUUGGUCCAGACCGAGGUGACCC
This is a long non-coding RNA of Triticum dicoccoides, 2421 nucleotides long. RefSeq lists it as uncharacterized. NCBI's taxonomy places the organism in Eukaryota, Viridiplantae, Streptophyta, Magnoliopsida, Poales, Poaceae. The record is from RefSeq and is a predicted model, not a curated record. The transcript has 5 exons.